Camponotus floridanus (Florida carpenter ant) is the source of this 978-nucleotide long non-coding RNA. RefSeq lists it as uncharacterized. The transcript is spliced from 3 exons. NCBI's taxonomy places the organism in Eukaryota, Metazoa, Arthropoda, Insecta, Hymenoptera, Formicidae. The record is from RefSeq and is a predicted model, not a curated record.
AUUUGAUAAUAAAGUUAAAGGAAGAUAAAAAUCAUGCUUAACGUGAUAUUCAGUAAAUACACAUAGUAAGCACAAAAUUAAAUUCGUCAUUUUUCACGCAAAGGAAAAAGAUAUUUACUUGUAAACGUUAUUGUUGAACUUGUUGUAACUGCCUAGAGCUACCAAUGCACCUAAACCGAGAGCCUAUAUAUAUUAACGAGAAAUUAAUAAUGUGACAAUAUUACCUCGGGAUCACCGAGUUUUGAGAGAUUUGGUGUAGCAUAAUAUUUCAAACCUUCCGAAGCACCGGGAAGUGUCAGACCUCUUAUGAGCAGCACUGCUAGUAAGGCGUACGGAAAAAGAGCCGUGAAAUAGACGACCUACAUUACAUCAUGUAUAUAAUUUACAGUUUUAUAUUCGAAAAACAAAGAUUUGAGUUUGCAAGAAUCCGCUAUACCUUGCCAGUCCAUUUGACGCCUUUCCAGAUGCAAAAGUAGCACAUGAUCCAUACGACUGCGAGCGUACCAGCUAGUUCCCAUCUUAUACCACCCACGGCUUCGAUGCCAGUUGAAAUCUGCAGGGUCCGUCUCCUUUUCAUGACAGAAAACGCGAAUUAUAAUUAAUUAAAGCAUGAAAAAGACUAAUAACUUACUCCCAAAAUUCCUUGACUGGGUCUUUCAGCAGUUCAUGGCUCAAAUUCCCGAGAGACGUAGCGCAUAUGAAAUCAUUCGGCCAGUAAUCCUGCCAGCAUGAAACAUUCAAACGUUCAUCUGGUGUGAUGCAGUAGCGCGUGUUCCAUGAAUUGUCGCACGUUCUCCAGGAAAAAAUAUUGGAGCAUAUUGAAAUGCUUUAUAUAUGCUCACCGGCUCGUAAAGAGACUAAGAAGUAGAAGAGUGCCCAAGCAAGAAUGAUGAUAUAAUACACAUUGGUCCAGCAGGAGAGCACGCAAGUCGCAUAUCCAAUGCCUAUUAAGAAAUCAGCAUUGUCAUUGUCGUGUCC